UCCUACGGGAGGCAGCAGUGGGGAAUUUUCCGCAAUGGGCGAAAGCCUGACGGAGCAACGCCGCGUGAGGGAUGAAGGCCUCUGGGCUGUAAACCUCUUUUCUCAAGGAAGAAGAUAUGACGGUACUUGAGGAAUAAGCCACGGCUAAUUCCGUGCCAGCAGCCGCGGUAAUACGGGAGUGGCAAGCGUUAUCCGGAAUUAUUGGGCGUAAAGCGUCCGCAGGCGGCCUUUCAAGUCUGCUGUUAAAACGUGGAGCUCAACUCCAUCAUGGCAGUGGAAACUGAUCGGCUUGAGUAUGGUAGGGGCAGAGGGAAUUCCCGGUGUAGCGGUGAAAUGCGUAGAUAUCGGGAAGAACACCAGUGGCGAAGGCGCUCUGCUGGGCCAUUACUGACGCUCAUGGACGAAAGCCAGGGGAGCGAAAGGGAUUAGAUACCCCUGUAGUCCUGGCCGUAAACGAUGAACACUAGGUGUCGGGGGAAUCGACCCCUUCGGUGUCGUAACUAACGCGUUAAGUGUUCCGCCUGGGGAGUACGCACGCAAGUGUGAAACUCAAAUGAAUUGACGG
RNAcentral lists this ribosomal RNA (565 nucleotides) under uncultured bacterium. RNAcentral describes it as "bacterial SSU rRNA". It matches the Rfam family "Bacterial small subunit ribosomal RNA", at positions 337 to 916 of the family's 1533-position model. The record is from RNAcentral.